Molecule: ribosomal RNA, 253 nt
Filed under: uncultured bacterium
Lineage: Bacteria
Description: partial 16S ribosomal RNA
Rfam family: Bacterial small subunit ribosomal RNA
Source: RNAcentral
UACGUAGGGCGCAAGCGUUAUCCGGAAUUAUUGGGCGUAAAGAGCUCGUAGGCGGUCUGUCGCGUCGGAUGUGAAAAUCCAAGGCUCAACCUUGGACCUGCAUUCGAUACGGGCAGACUAGAGUUCGGUAGGGGAGACUGGAAUUCCUGGUGUAGCGGUGAAAUGCGCAGAUAUCAGGAGGAACACCGGUGGCGAAGGCGGGUCUCUGGGCCGAUACUGACGCUGAGGAGCGAAAGCGUGGGGAGCGAACAGG